RNAcentral lists this ribosomal RNA (467 nucleotides) under uncultured bacterium. RNAcentral's name for it is "partial 16S ribosomal RNA". It matches the Rfam family "Bacterial small subunit ribosomal RNA", at positions 28 to 506 of the family's 1533-position model. The record is from RNAcentral.
GACGAACGCUGGCGGCGUGCUUAACACAUGCAAGUCGAACGGAAAGGCCCUGCUUUUGUGGGGUGCUCGAGUGGCGAACGGGUGAGUAACACGUGAGUAACCUGCCCUUGACUUUGGGAUAACUUCAGGAAACUGGGGCUAAUACCGGAUAGGAGCUCCUGCUGCAUGGUGGGGGUUGGAAAGUUUCGGCGGUUGGGGAUGGACUCGCGGCUUAUCAGCUUGUUGGUGGGGUAGUGGCUUACCAAGGCUUUGACGGGUAGCCGGCCUGAGAGGGUGACCGGCCACAUUGGGACUGAGAUACGGCCCAGACGCCUACGGGAGGCAGCAGUGGGGAAUAUUGCACAAUGGGCGGAAGCCUGAUGCAGCAACGCCGCGUGCGGGAUGACGGCCUUCGGGUGGUAAACCGCUUUCGCCUGUGACGAAGCGUGAGUGACGGGAAUGGGUAAAGAAGCACCGGCGAACUACGU